This is a non-coding RNA of Podarcis lilfordi (Lilford's wall lizard), 89 nucleotides long. The record is from the annotation of a GenBank genome assembly. NCBI's taxonomy places the organism in Eukaryota, Metazoa, Chordata, Lepidosauria, Squamata, Lacertidae.
GUUACAUAUAGCUCAGUUGGUAGAGCAUGAGACUCUUAAUCUCAGAGUCGGGGGUUGGACUAGAUGACCCUCAUGGUCCCUUCCCAACU